This 541-nucleotide ribosomal RNA is filed under the name uncultured archaeon. Its description in RNAcentral is "bacterial SSU rRNA". It matches the Rfam family "Bacterial small subunit ribosomal RNA", at positions 509 to 1050 of the family's 1533-position model. The record is from RNAcentral.
CAGCAGCCGCGGUAAUACGUAGGGUGCGAGCGUUGUCCGGAAUUACUGGGCGUAAAGAGUUCGUAGGCGGUUUGUCGCGUCGUUUGUGAAAACCCGGGGCUCAACUUCGGGCUUGCAGGCGAUACGGGCAGACUUGAGUGUUUCAGGGGAGACUGGAAUUCCUGGUGUAGCGGUGAAAUGCGCAGAUAUCAGGAGGAACACCGGUGGCGAAGGCGGGUCUCUGGGAAACAACUGACGCUGAGGAACGAAAGCGUGGGUAGCAAACAGGAUUAGAUACCCUGGUAGUCCACGCCGUAAACGGUGGGCGCUAGGUGUGGGUUCCUUCCACGGGAUCUGUGCCGUAGCUAACGCAUUAAGCGCCCCGCCUGGGGAGUACGGCCGCAAGGCUAAAACUCAAAGGAAUUGACGGGGGCCCGCACAAGCGGCGGAGCAUGUGGAUUAAUUCGAUGCAACGCGAAGAACCUUACCUGGGUUUGACAUACACCGGAAAACCGUAGAGAUACGGUCCCCCUUGUGGUCGGUGUACAGGAGGUGCAUGGCC